AGGGAAUCUUCCGCAAUGGACGAAAGUCUGACGGAGCAACGCCGCGUGAGUGAUGAAGGUUUUCGGAUCGUAAAGCUCUGUUGCCAGGGAAGAACGUCCGUUAGAGUAACUGCUAACGGAGUGACGGUACCUGAGAAGAAAGCCCCGGCUAACUACGUGCCAGCAGCCGCGGUAAUACGUAGGGGGCGAGCGUUGUCCGGAAUUAUGGGGCGUAAAGCGCGCGCAGGCGGCUGUUUAAGUCUGGUGGUGAAGCCUGGGGCUCAACCCCGGGUCGCACUGGAAACUGGACAGCUUGAGUGCAGAAGAGGAGAGUGGAAUUCCACGUGUAGCGGUGAAAUGCGUAGAGAUGUGGAGGAACACCAGUGGCGAAGGCGACUCUCUGGGCUGUAACUGACGCUGAGGCGCGAAAGCGUGGGGAGCAAAC
Molecule: ribosomal RNA, 424 nt
Filed under: uncultured bacterium
Lineage: Bacteria
Description: bacterial SSU rRNA
Rfam family: Bacterial small subunit ribosomal RNA
Source: RNAcentral